GACGAACGCUGGCGGCGUGCUUAACACAUGCAAGUCGAACGGGCCUUGUCCCCUUUUUUUUGGGGGUGGGGUUAGUGGCGAACGGGUGAGUAACACGUGAGUAACCUGCCCCUCACUUCUGGAUAACCGCUUGAAAGGGUGGCUAAUACGGGGUGUUCUGGCCUGCUCGCAUGGGUGGGUUUGGAAAGAUUCGACCGGUUUGGUUGUUUUGGUGGGGGAUGGGCUCGCGGCCUAUCAGCUUGUUGGUGGGGUGAUGGCCUGCCAAGGCUUUGACGGGUAGCCGGCCUGAGAGGGUGGGCGGUCACACUGGGACUGAGACACGGCCCAGACUCCUACGGGAGGCAGCAGUGGGGAAUAUGGCACAAUGGGCGCAAGCCUGAUGCAGCGACGCCGCGUGAGGGAUGGAGGCCUUCGGGUUGUGAACCUCUUUCGCCAGUGAAGAAGGUCCUGCUCUUUGUGGUGGGGUUGACGGUAGCUGGGUUAAUGAAGCGCCGGCUAACUACGUG
This 506-nucleotide ribosomal RNA is filed under the name uncultured bacterium. RNAcentral describes it as "partial 16S ribosomal RNA". It matches the Rfam family "Bacterial small subunit ribosomal RNA", at positions 28 to 507 of the family's 1533-position model. The record is from RNAcentral.